CGUUAAGAAGCUAUGAAUCAGCACUAGCCUUUUAAGCUAGAGAAAGAGGGGCGUACCCCUCCUUAAUGA
This 69-nucleotide transfer RNA is filed under the name Aepypodius arfakianus (wattled brush turkey). Its description in RNAcentral is "tRNA-Lys". It matches the Rfam family "tRNA". From Rfam's summary of the family: Transfer RNA (tRNA) molecules are approximately 80 nucleotides in length. Their secondary structure includes four short double-helical elements and three loops (D, anti-codon, and T loops). The record is from RNAcentral. Lineage: Eukaryota; Metazoa; Chordata; Aves; Galliformes; Megapodiidae.